UACAUAUUUCAAAUGAAAUACUGUGCGUUUUGUUGUAAUACGUGACAAAGCGUCACACUGAGGGGAGGACAUAAACACUUGUAGCUGCCCUCUACUCAUCUGGAGAGGAAGGAACAGCAGCUGUGGUUUUUUUGCAUUUGUCUUUGAAAUACCCGUAAAUGAAGAUGAUGCCCGGGCACCUAAGCUACUGCUGAGCUGCGUCUGUCAGAUGUGAGGGCCAUUAAAGUUGUACUCAACGGCCGGCUGAGAGAGGAUGAAGCGUCUCCUGAACAGUCUGCUGCUCGUAUUCGCUCUCUGCACCGUGACAUCUUGGAGUGCUGCAUCAGACAAACUAGUUGUGACUCAGAGUCCAGAUGUUUCUGUCAUGGAGGGGGAGAUGGUGAAGAUCAUCUGCUGCUGGAAAGGGAACAUUGGAAGAGUUAGAGUGAACUGGUUGAAAAGUCAAACACAAAACAAGGAAGAUCUCAACAUGAAGAAUCAGUCUUAAGUGUUUCAGAACAAGGAGGGAAACAACUGUUCAACUCUGACCUUUUCCAAAUAUCUCAAGAGAAAAUGCAGGUACAUACGUCUGCAAGGUUUCUGUAGAGAUACCAGUUUUAUCUGUAGCUCUUGGAAACGGUACAGUCAUCACAGUUACAUCCAACAAUGAAACAUCUGGAGAAACCUCUGACGGCACAACCGGAGGUAAAACUGGAGAUUCUCACCAGGAAGAAGAAGAAGUGCUCAUUCAUGUCCUGAGGUGUCUGCCCAUCCUCACCCUCAUCAUCACCUUCUUCUGCCUCUACUACGAAAGGACUAAAGCUCAGAGGAAAGCAACAGCUUCUCCAGGAAAUGGACCAACUCUGGCCCCAAGAACAGAGGAAGACCAAGAGGAAGAAAAAGAGAGAGAAGAGAGAGUGAUAGAAGCGGCAGAAGAGUCAGAAACAUUGGAAAGAAGUGAAACGAACACAACUGAUGUUCUGUGAAUUCUUGUGUAAACACUUCUGACGAACAUAUGAAUAAAAAUAAGGCCUGUA
This is a long non-coding RNA of Mugil cephalus (flathead mullet), 1016 nucleotides long. RefSeq lists it as uncharacterized. NCBI's taxonomy places the organism in Eukaryota, Metazoa, Chordata, Actinopteri, Mugiliformes, Mugilidae. The transcript has 4 exons. The record is from RefSeq and is a predicted model, not a curated record.